ACUGCUCAGUAACACGUGGAUAACCUGCCCUUGGGUCCGGCAUAACCCCGGGAAACUGGGGAUAAUUCUGGAUAACGCACAUAUGCUGGAAUGCUUUAUGCGUAAAAUGGAUUCGUCUGCCCAAGGAUGGGUCUGCGGCCUAUCAGGUAGUAGUGGGUGUAAUGUACCUACUAGCCAACAACGGGUACGGGUUGUGAGAGCAAGAGCCCGGAGAUGGAUUCUGAGACAUGAAUCCAGGCCCUACGAGGCGCAGCAGGCGCGAAAACUUUACAAUGCGGGAAACCGUGAUAAGGGGACACCGAGUGCCAGCAUCAUAUGCUGGCUGUCCAGGUGUGUAAACUACACCUGUUAGCAAGGGCCGGGCAAGACCGGUGCCAGCCGCCGCGGUAACACCGGCGGCCCGAGUGGUGAUCGUGAUUAUUGGGUCUAAAGGGUCCGUAGCCGGUUUGGUCAGUCCUCCGGGAAAUCUGAUAGCUCAACUAUUAGGCUUUCGGGGGAUACUGCCAGGCUUGGAACCGGGAGAGGUAAGAGGUACUACAGGGGUAGGAGUGAAAUCUUGUAAUCCCUGUGGGACCACCUGUGGCGAAGGCGUCUUACCAGAACGGGUUCGACGGUGAGGGACGAAAGCUGGGGGCACGAACCGGAUUAGAUACCCGGGUAGUCCCAGCCGUAAACGAUGCUCGCUAGGUGUCAGGCAUGGCGCGACCGUGUCUGGUGCCGCAGGGAAAGCCGUGAAGCGGGCCACCUGGGAAGUACGGCCGCAAGGCUGAAACUUAAAGGAAUUGGCGGGGGAGCAC
RNAcentral lists this ribosomal RNA (797 nucleotides) under uncultured Methanosarcinaceae archaeon. RNAcentral's name for it is "bacterial SSU rRNA". It matches the Rfam family "Archaeal small subunit ribosomal RNA", at positions 85 to 879 of the family's 1478-position model. Lineage: Archaea; Methanobacteriati; Methanobacteriota; Methanomicrobia; Methanosarcinales; Methanosarcinaceae. The record is from RNAcentral.